CGUGGGGGGGCGGGCGGCGGCGACCCGCGGCCUGACCUGCCCGGGCGCCGGGUCUCAUGACGUCACCUCGCCGUGACGCGCACGCGGUAGGAAAACUGAUUAAAUUAAAAGGAUUUACCAUACAUCUUAUGACUCUUUACUGGAGCCUUGGGAGAUAGAUAUGUUUUCUAUAAGUGGAGCAUAGUUGGAUUUCAUAGUUGGAUUUUUUAACCUAAUGGGAGGAACCUUUGUCUUUUAACAGGUAAAGAUGAAUGUCAUGUCUCAACCAACACUGAAAAUGUGACGUUUAGAAGACAUUUGCUAAGUCGAGUCACCUCAUGCAAAUUGUUGUUCAAGUCAAAGACAUCAUAAUGCAGAGUGCUUCAUCAGUACCACCAAAAGAUCAAGACGUUUUGACCCAGGAACUCCACUUCCAGGAAUCUGGCCUAUAGAUAUUACUGCACGAGUUCACAGACAGAUGUGGACAAAGAAGGGCGCCUGCCAUGUCAGGAAACAAAGGAUGUUGCAGCCGUCAAGCUGUCAGCCACUGCAGCUGCCCCAGACUGUGCACCCAGAGCGGAUUCGGGAUGGAGACACCCAGGAUGCCGGCCCCAGAUAGCUAAGUACCUGGGCUGCCGUCGUUCGGGAAGCCCUCGGCAACGCUGUGAAGGAAGGAGAAGUCGUCUGACCCCUUGAGCUUGAGCCCCUGCUGCCUGACAGUACCGCAUCACAGCCCACAGGCCCCCAUAUGGAACAUCAGGCCAGAUGUUUUACUGACGUCACAGAUAACUAUCACUGCAGUAUUUAAAUGGACCCCAAGAGAAAAGCUCCAGAAUUUUCUUAAUUGCAUUCUAAAGACGUUUGGACUGAAGCUGAUGGUGGCAGCACCUCCUACUCCCCCGUUGACUGCAGCCUGCAUCCUUACCUCCACGUGACGACGUCCUUGGACUAGAUUCCCUCCAGACUUCUCCCAACCCGUAGCUGCAGCUCCCGCCUCUUCACCAGACCCAGUACCACCCCUAGCUCUCAAAAGAAGUUCUACAGAACGAAGAGUUAAUCUUAUCCAGGUUCAGAGCCAGAAACCUGUCAUGUGAAAUCCCAGCGAAGACCAACAUUCUUUCCAGACUUUCGUACGUGUCCUCGGGCAUCUGUCACUCCCAGGGACCAUCAGGCUUGGCUGGAGCGAUGCAGUCCUUGACGCUGGGUUCUGAAGACUCAGGGAACAUGCGUUCAUUGCUGUUGUUUGGAAAACCAGCUGGAGGCCCGAGAGGGAAUUCAAACCAAGUUGCCGGUGGAUGGGCCCAGGGACUGAUGCCAUCCUACAGGCAUCCCCGGGACCAGGGCACAGGACGAGGGGCUGCGAUAUUGGCUCGCGAUGAGCCGUGGCCUCUGAGGACGGCGCCGCACCAGCCCCCCGGGCCCCUUCCUCCAAAGGCUUUGCUAAAUCUACUCCUCAGAGGGUCACCCUUCCUGCCGUGACGUCCUCGCACCAUCAGUUGUCAGGAAAGAUAAGGAACAGAGAUCCGAGCAGCCAGGACGUGUGCCCUAAGCCUCAGCGCUGGUCCAGGGACAGAGCGGAGCUGAGGCUGCCCAGGGACUGCGGGCCCCUGUCCUCAGAGUUGACAGUGGCACAGGGAAUUCGCUGAGGUCUUCAGAACAAGAGAAACUGGGCCUGAGUUGCUGUUCAUGAGGAAACACCGAGAUGGAUCUGGACCUGCCUUGGGAAGCGCACUGCGGGACCUCGAGCCUGAGCCUGAGCCGUGACGGGGAGAGACCUUCGGGGGUCUUUGGAUUCUGUGUGCAGAACGAAUGUUCCCAAGGAUGGAGGUGAAUUCCAAAGACGAAUUUCCCUGUAUCCUGCAUGGCCCACUGCAUCUAAAAUGGAAGAGCCAAGAAGAAACCAGCCGCUCACUGGUGGUUCACCUGCUUCCAGGCAGGCAGUGCAUUGUAUUCGUCUCGGGUCAUGUCUAGUGCAAACUGGAAGGAGGGAAAGAAACGCCCUGAGUGAAAGGACCCUCCGACAAGCCACGCAUGCUGUGUUCAAAUGCUGUCCCACCCGAAGAAGCGCUUACCUCGAAAUCCUCGUCGGUGAGGUAAAUCUCCAGCUUCAGAGGGUCCACGCCCUCGGGCAGGGGCCUGGCUAGGAGGUCGGCCAGCGGGUAGAUGGUUUUGCACAGCUUGGCUAAGACAUCCUCCACCAGGGUGAUCUGAUUUGAAACUUCCGUGUCCUGGAGAAGAGGAGGGGGCAGAGAGGGGGACCUCCGUGUCCCACAUCUGAACACGUUUCAUCAUGUGCCUGAAAAUAUGCCCCCCUGGCCCAUCCGCACCGCAGCCUGGAGACCCCGCUCAGGGAGAUGAGGCUCUGAGAGGCCAUCUCACCCUGCACGGCGUUUCAGAUACAUCAGGAAAAAGUUUAGGGACUGUCACACGAGUGAAUUAUCCAGAAGAUGGCUAAAUGUGAAGCUGAAACGCUGGAAGCAUGCAAAUAAAUGGAACUUGCUUACAAAUAUUUAAAAACAGUUAACCUUAAAAGGAAUUACCCCCCUCCACCUCCUCAGACCCCAUCUCUUCAUCCUCAAUAGAAAAAGGAGGUAAGAAAAUGCAUCUAGAAUAAGCUGGGGCUGAACUGAGGUCUUUUUUGCUUUUAAACCACUGUGUGCAUUUCAUCUGAACAGGUUAUUCCGGGUGAACGAUCUUCCUCUGUUAAACCUGGGACCCCGCAGUGGGCUACCUCCUUUGGGUGGAGGUGUGUGUGUGGGGAAUGAUGUGAAUUCAGCUGCACUCAGACCAGGGAUCGGGGGCGAGUGGCGGAGGGAACGUGUCAGAGAUCGGGGCGAGCUUCUCCGAGUGCCCACGCCUCGGCUAGUUCGCCAGUGAAAUGGGAUAAGCAGCAGCUGGAUCUUAGUGGACUGUUGUGAAAAUUAAAGGCGAAGCUAAGUGCGGUGUGCGGAGCAGUGCCUGGCACAGAGCGGCCCUUAGUGAAUUCUCAUCACGACUUGCCCGACGGCAGACUGGCCGAUGGCCUGCAGGCUGUACAGGACUCCCCAGAGCCCCCCGGCCAGCCCCCGGGGGUCUGCAGGGCACACGGGACAAUGGCAGUGAUUCAUGUAAUUGAACUCGGACCGCAGCAACGGGGCUCGUAACCCUUAGAGCUCUGAGGUGUCCUGGGUCACACGUUCAUCCUGGAUAGAGCCACCUUGCCAUGCCUGUCGGCUCCCAGGCGGCCUGAGCCCCCAUCUGUGAAGGUCAAGUCCACGGGGCUCCAGGGAGUGAGCUUAGGGUCACCAGCAGAGAUGAAGCAGGCCCUCUCCGUGGUCGAGAAGCGGCACACGUUUGCUGUUUGUUUAAACUUAUCCAGACCUCCUAUCAAAUACCCCUCCACGUCAUCUCUGCCAGGGAAGUGGCCCUCCUCCUACACAGUGAGAAAGCCUGAACGGAACAAACCUGUCUCCCACGACACCAAAAACGCCCUUGGGAUUGCUACUGCAAGCAGCGUUCGAAGCUCAGACACUGAGGAAUUCUACAUAGCGGCAGCCCUUCCUCUUCCUGAGCUGAUUCUGCGGAGACUGGUGAACGUGUUGUGACCAAGGAAACGUGUUCCCACGUGAAAUGCGAUUGGCUGCUUCUCCCAGCUGGGAAACAUGUUGGUGAAGGUCAGGGGCUCCAGACCGGCAUGGAUGAGAACACUUCUGGGUCCCUGGAUGGGAGAAGAGCAAGCCUCUCUCUGUGGCGUCUGGGUGGGACCGUCCCUCCUGGACUCACCUGUGAAGUAUUCCUCUGAUUGCCUAACCCAGCCUUGAGUUCGGUGUGAAUUACCAGCUAAUGGCAGCAUUUUAGAAGCUACUGUAGCUUAAACAUUUGGUGGGAAGUUUAUUAAGUUAUUGUUUAUGAAAGAGCUUUCCAAGAGAAAAUCAGCUGUAUAUAUUCAGUAAUACUAAUCAAUGAAAUCUUAAAAAUUCAGGUAAGACAUUAAUCACUGGCACCUUCAUUUUAUAUAAGAGAACAGACGUUUCAGGUGGAUGGUAUAGUAGAGAAGCCAUGAAUUGACUACAGAUCUCUCUUUUUAGGUAAAACACUAAACAGAGUAACAGAUGACAGAAAGGUUGCCAUUGGCCUUCCAGCCCGCUUGGGGGUGCUCUCUACUCUCCGACGGGGCUGACACUGGGUGUGGACAGUGCGCGGAUGGGGCCUGGUGUCCCCCAGCAUGAUCGAUCCUCAGUGCAGAAGGGUUUUAACCAGGCCAGGCAUCCCACAACUCAGCCGUUAACCUCGAGGGUGACAGGCUGCUGGCACCCGUGGAAAGGGAAGCGUGUAUCCGGGCCCCCCCCCGCCGCCGCGGCCUCACCUCGGCAGUACUGCAGAACCGUCUCCAUGGCGUUCUUUCGGUCCGAGGCCCAGCGGAUGCGGGCGGAGCCGGUGAUCUUGUUCUCCACGGGCCACCAGCCCUGCCAGAGGUACACCUCGUGGUGAUUGUCAACAAGGAAAAGUGCUGCGAGGGCGGAGCAGAGCAGACGUCUCGUCAGGGGCUCUGUCCCACACCGAACCGACGCCUCCCUCCCUGCCGCCUCGGUCAGUGCGAGAAUCCGCUUGGCAGGUAAACUCGGGGCCGCAGGGAGGGUGCCCCUGAUGUCUUGGCCCUUUGAACGGUGAAGCAGGAGAUGCCUCGAGGCAGAGAGAUGGCGUUGAUGAGGGGGGCUCUUUCCUCCCUCUCCCCCCAUUCCUUCCCCCUUUGCCCCUCCUGCAGCUGCCCUCUGGGGCCUGGCCGGUUGCGAAGAGUGGGACAGAUGGCAUCACGCUGGCCCUCGGGUCAUCGGUGGUCAUGCCCCACGUAGGACUGCUUGGCAGGCCAUCUAAGUCCAUGGUUCUUUCAGGGAGGAAUGGGCUUUGGAAAUCAAGUGUUGCUCCCUUUUCCCUUCAGCAGACCCUCAGCCUGACUCUUCCACGUGGUCAAGGGCUCUCACACCCGCCAGCCCAGCUCGCCUGAGUCCUUUCCUAGCCUGCACCUCAGAAUUCUGUGAUAAUCACAUGCCUGAAAAGCCCGGCGGAGGCUGCCCCCCCCCGAGCCGCAGGACGGAGAGAAACAUGAUGGCUGGAGCAGGGGCAGCUACAUGGAGACCAUGAAGCAGCAAGCUGGAGGGAAGGCUGAGAGAACAGCAGAGACUCAUGCCUGACACAGCUGCACUCAACCUACUCUUAACUGACGAAUUUGGCUUCGCUUUCAGAGAAUUACAUUACCGUACAGUAUGCCUCUCUCUAAUUGGGGAAGCUGUGUAUCAGCCUAUCAUCACGGAUGCCGGCUGCACCGAAAGCGUCUUGUUCCAGAGCUUCAGGCUGUGCUCAGCUCGCUUCCUGGAAUUCUCCCCCCUCCUUCACUUCUCUCCAAGCCACCAAGGCUACACCUCCAAGGCUCCGGGGUCCAGGGGCGAACCUGAUGGGCCUCAGUGCCAUGUGAGACCUGGCUGAACCCUGUCUAUCAUCUAGCUUGCUGGCCCUCAGCGUGAUGUCGGGAGACGAAGCAUCCCGCUUCACAGCUGUCCACCAGCCGAAAGGUCCCCCGCCCUCCACGUGCGCUGGGUCACGUGUGCGCCGUGAGGGGGAGCCGACCCUGACCGCACCGCUUUGGUGCCCAGAGAAUGAAUUUACCAGGUGGCACCUGGUGGGAUGUGGCCCCGGGAGACUCUUCCUCUCCACUGUACGGGUGUCACAAGGUCCUCCCAGGUCUCAGCUCGAGGGGGCACUGGGCUCUUUGGCUGCCCGAGAUGCACAGAGGCACCUGGGCAGGUGGCGGGCGGCACAGCUGCUUCUGGGCUCUCCCCGCCUUCCCCUCCCCAGGGGGGGUCCUCACCUAGCGCUGUCACGCUGUGCUGUCUCUGGGUCGUGGGCACCUGUGGGUGCCUGUCUGGGAAAGGGCAGCUGCCUCGGACGCUGGGAAACACACUUGUCCCCGAAGGAGGGGGCAUUCCUCAGUCUGACACAGUGGGUGGUCUCCUAACUGUCUUUGGCUAAAUGCCCUUCAACCUUCCACUGCUCCGAUACAACCAGCUCUGCUCCCCUAAAUGAUAUUUGAAAUUUGCUCUCUUUAAAUAGACAAGGACUCCAGGUUGACAAUUCAAAAGCCAAAUCACACCUUCAGAGAAGCUGCUGGGGGUCCUGUGCCUUUCACGGAGGCCAGUCCUUCCGACCUCCUUCGUGUGGGCCUGGGCUUUGCAUCCGUGCCACAGGUAGAUGAGGGCUUUGUGGACGUUGAGGACGACCAUGGACGUCCUGGACCUCAGGCUGCUGCAGUGACAGGCCACCUCCAGCAAGUUCCCUUCCACGGGCACUUCUCCGCGCACACAGUACAGCCUCCACUCGCCUGCAGGGGGCACCAGUGGCACAGUCAGGACGUGGCGGCGCAGGGAGGGGGCCUGGAGGAAGGGGAGCCUGCAGGGCAGCCCACGCCCCGCCUCCUUUCUGUGUCUGGAGGGGCAGGUGGAGGCGAGGCCAGGCUGCGGUCUUACUGAGUCCCAGGAAGCCAAUUUUGUUGGAGUUAUAGUUAGCAGCAGGCUGCCCAGAGUGCACGAUGCAGAAAAACCAGUUUUACAUAAUUUAUAAAGAUCUAGGUAAGUCAUAACAGGCAUAUUUUUUUAAGAGGCUCUGAAACUAUGAUUUCUUUUUUGUUUUUUGGAUGCUGGUCAACAAAAAUCUCGUAAUUUAGAAGAGAAGAUCACUAGUUUUUUUUUCCCCCUCCAGGAUCCAGUUUAAGGUCGAGUCAUCUUGCCGCCUCCUUUAUGCAAAGCUGCUUUCUGAAGGCAACUCCAUGGAAGGGAGGGGGAGGGAGGCACCCAGGAAGCUGAUUUAUAAGGCAGACAUCAGGAGGCCUUCGCUGGUCAGGCCGCAGCUACAUGAAGAGAGAGUUACUCUAAAGCCCACGCCUAUAAAAUACCUUCCCGGAGAGGAGAAGAGAGUCGAAUUCCAGCAGCAAAAGUGACUCACUCUGUGCGUUGUCUUCUUCCUCCUCCCGUCUCCCGGAGUGGACCACCAUCCCUCCCUGGAAACACUGCAGAAAACAGGGGGGCUCCUUGCCCUGCAGGACCUGGACCUUCCGAUUUAAACACAUUACAGUGAGUCACGUGUCCUGGUUUUGCAGAGUCAUAAAAAUAACACAUGCCUGUUGUCGAAAUCUGAAAAAUACUGAGAAGUACAAAUAAAAGCCACUGAUAAUACUGUGAUUGAUGGAGAACACUACUACAAUUCUGGCGUGUAGCUCCCCUAUUAAUACAAAGUAUUUUUCAGGUAUACAUUUUUCCCAAAUAGGAUCGCUGUUUUUUAUGUUGCUUUAUCCCUGGAUUUUCUUCAGCUGACGUUUUUCUGUCGUCACAUAAGAUUCUUAACGUGAAUUUUGAUAUUUUAAUGGUAGUGUUCCACGGUACGGAUAUAACGUGAUUAACUUAAACAUGUUUUUAAUAAAGAAAAUCUCUCAGCAGUGAGAAUGACUAA
Non-coding RNA from Globicephala melas (long-finned pilot whale), 7458 nucleotides. Lineage: Eukaryota; Metazoa; Chordata; Mammalia; Artiodactyla; Delphinidae. The record is from RefSeq and is a predicted model, not a curated record.